GCUGCCCUCUACGGGGACGGUCGCACACAGUCCCCAGGACGUACUUCACUCCAGUCCCCGCUCAGGUCUUCCGUUCCCUGCGCUCUGUGUGCAAAGGCACACGUUCUCUGCAGUGAAACAGUCGAUGUCCACCACACUGUUCACACUUCUUCCAAGCCAAUGAGAUGCCUAAUUCAGGCGGUCACUAUUCUCCCCUAACAGGGGGCACGGUAGAGCGUGCUACUCCAGUGAAGGGUUCCGGGCCCUCGGAUGCCACUUCCCAGCCGUGGGGACGGGAACAGGUCACUGCCCCUCCAGCCCCCAGCCACUCCCUCAGCCCCUAGACAGGAGGUCACUCCCAUUACCCAUGUCCAACUCCCUGGGGUGCGCACACGUCGGACUACAGCGCUGGACCUCCGAAGGAACCCUCGGCUCGCACCGACAGACUCAGCAACUACAGGCCACAGCCCUGCCACACCAUCUGCGGGGGUACAGCUGUGUGGCCCCACUGCCUCCAGUUCCUGAUGAGACGGGUUUUAGGCAGCCCUGUCAGACUCACAAGGCAGUUACGAAUCUCAAGCCUCCGGCAGAGCUGGGACUCCCUCCCUCCUACGUCCUGCGAUCCCCCACAGGCCCGGCCAGCAGGUCCCGGGGCUCCGGAACUGUCCAUCGCCCUGGGCUGGAGCGGGUCACAGCUCAGCGGGCAGGGUUGGAAACCGCUCUCUGUGGAAGCGUCUGGCUCCACUUUGAAUGGAUGCUUCUCCUCCAGGAGCUCAGGGCAGAGACCAGGGGCACCCCAACCCCACAGCAGGGAGCUCCUUCUCUCUGCCAUGUGCCGGGGUGUGAAGGUGUCACAGACUUGUCCAGAACCGUGCCUAAUCCGGGGCUGGCUCAGGACUGCGCUCUGGGCCACCUGGGGCAGCAUCCUGCCCACAAAGUCUCCGCAGCGGGAGUUGCACCCGAGGACGCGACUCCUGCCCCCUGCAUGGACCUAGCCCAGCUGCAGAGCGACCAGGACAUCUCUCCUCUUAGCCACCGCGGGAGGGACGGGCCUUGGAGCCCUGACAAGCCCAGGUCCAGGCGGAGAUUUCUUUUUUAAGUCUAAAAAACCCACAAAAUGCCACUCUCUUUGCCUUCAUCUUUAGUGUCUCCUUAAAAAUACACAGCAGGGUUACAGAGCCAGGCCAGCUCGACCGCGGGCUGCCAUCCAGCUCAAGCCUGCAAAGGCUGAGCCAGGACGAGCCCCUCUUCUUGCGCCUGGCCUCCCUCCAGGACGUGGCCUUUGCUCCCUGCUUGCAAAACCAUUAGAGAAGGCGCAUGCAGCAGGCGAAAGCACCGUGAGGGCCCCCGGGGCUGACCCCCAGGCGGGACACAAGGAACAUCACCACGCCUAGUGGGGGCCACCACGCCGACCUCCGUGCACUAUCUGGUGCACACAGCGUUUGCUCUGAUUCACCAGCUUCUGCACCCCUUCAAGGGGACCCCCAGAAACGCCCACCUAGGCCCUGGAAGCAGCUGACUGAGCGCCUGGCAGCAAAGCCUGUCACGAUGAGACCUUGCACCCCCUGAUCCAUGUUCAAACCCCACCACCCCAUGCGCCAUCAACCGUGGACCACGUGGCCGCCGUGGGCAGGGGGAUGGCCUCCCAAGAGCGCUGGGAAGGCGACAAAGCGAGGGCCGCUCCCCCAGCGGUGAGGAGAAGGUGCCAGGGGAGGCCUGGAACGGUCCCAGCCUCCCCCUAACCUGGGGAGCACCAGCGUCUCCACGGCUGCCAAGAUGCCCACCGUCCAGCCCCUGCACAUGGUCUAUGCCCAGAAUCUCAAUCGUUUCUACUUUCCAAACUACCCACGGAGGCAUACCCCAAUGUCAGCACCGCCGCAGCGUGACCUUUGAGGGGAACACGAGGAGCCCCAUACUGGACCUGAUUCACCCUUCCAAUUGACCCUCCCUUGUGGUUCUCAUCUUCCAGAUGCUUCCAGGCCAGCUGCCGUGUGAGUGCCGAGGGCCACAUAAAACGAUGCGGGGUCGGCGUCCAGCAAACCCACCCUCACGGCAGUGGAGACAACUGGACUGGAAACAUCAAAUGCCCUCGACCCUCCAGACGGUGAGAAGGUGCCUGGGAGUGACCUCUGCUGAAGGCCCCAGGUCAAGGGAACCCCAGGCCCCAGAUUCCAGGAGUCCACUCUGCACCCUCCACGCCGGAGACGGGUCUACCCUCCUACCGCAGGCCAGGCUUGCUGGCCCCGGUCCUGCCAACCCGUCACCCGCCCUGGAGCCUGGCGCAUCCGUCCUUCCCGCGGUGUGGACUCGCACACCAGGCGGGGCGUUCCCUUUCUGAGCCCGGCGCCACCUCCCGGGUGCUUCAGAAGGCGCGAGACACGGAAACGUGGCAGCGGUUCUGUCCCCGUCCCACGUCAUCUUCCAGGUGGGAAGACGCGGGCUGAGAGGUUGGCCGGCCCUCAUGGUCCCCAGCGGGCCCGAGGAGGCGCCUUCCCUCCCGGGGACCAGUGCCGGGGAGCACGUUACGAGACACGCAGCACAGAGGCAGAGGGGUCUCCUCACAAUUCACAGGAACCAAAGUCAACUGAAAAAUCUAGAAGAGCCUCUAGAACAUUCUUGCACCAGGAUAAACUAGGCCGCCCCUCUGCCCCCACUAGGGCCUUGGCACUGCUCGUGGCGGCCUCAGCAGGGUCACGGUCGUGCCAAGCAAGCAUCCUGCCAGAGAAAGGCCUCCGGGUGCUGCCUACAGCCCCCUCGCAUAAGCUGGGCCCCCUCAUCCAGUGAUGGGGACAUGGGGACAGACCAGACGGGACCCCAAACGUGGGUCCAGAGCGUCACCAGCCAGAGGACAGGACUGCUGCCUCCCUGCCUUUCUGCCGGCAACGCCUGAGGAAAUGGAACUGUAUUCUGCCAAGGACCCGGGAAGUAGGUUGUGUGAGCAUCAGUGGCCCUGUCUACUGGAGAUGACGGGACCCGAGGUCUCAUUUCCUGCAGAACUGGUCCCAGAGGUUGGCCAGUUGGCCGUGCUGCCUGCCAGGCAGAGCUCAGGGCCGCCCCACAUGCCGGCCACUCCCGGGCCCUGGGCCGCCUCCGUGCAAGCGGGGUGGCUAUGUCCCGCCACAGAAACAGGCUGAGCGAGGCAGCCGCCCUGGGGACACGUGGUGGCCCCGAGCAGUGCCCUUCAGGUCUCGGCAGGUCCCCGACGGCCACCGCCCUGGGCUGAGCUCUGCUGGGGAGCCUCUGCCCAGUCCUGGGUCCUCACCCCGGGGACGUGCGGGGCCGGGCUGGCCGGGGCAGCGCCCCUUGGGGUGGGCUGCGUCCCGGUGCAGUCGGGAGCGCCCGGGGGGCUGGUUUCCAUUCGGGAACGGCCCCCCUCUCACUGCAAAGCACACCUGCAGCCAGCCUGACUCAGGCACUGCUGCUAGACACAGCGAGGGACAUGGGCCCGGCCUGCACCUGCCCACCGAAGGCCACGCGCAGGCAGGGCCGUCCAGGGGGCCACGGAGAGCAGAGAGAGGGACAGUCCUGGGCCCGGCUCCCCACGAUGCGCACACGUGAGCGGGCACCUGUGAGAACCCCGAGUCUGGCCCGUUCACUUCGGACAGGGAGCAGCGGAGACACAGACAGCCCCCCGCCCUGCCCAGCACGGUCCCUGCGCUGGGCCACCACCUGCGCAGGGACCCCGACGGCGUGCGUGCCAGCCCUACCUCCAGGCGCGGGGCGGGGGGACCCCUGGAGAGGAAGUGCCACCCAGAGGAGCGGAAAACCAGCUCCGGCUGGCCGGCCGUGGGGUUACUGGGAAAAGCAGACCGCUCCUCCAGGCUUCAACCUUGUCAGUGGCUGAUGCAGCUUCCCUAGGGGCUGGCGCAGCCCCGCCCCACCCACCUCCGGGUCCCUCAAGGCCUCCGCAGGCCCUCCAGGCACCGGAAGCUCUGGGCCCGGAAGCUGAUGUGCUGGCUGGGGGAGGGGCGGGGAGAGGCCUGCAGAGCCCACGGCCGUGGCCACACCCGCCACAUCCGCCCCAUCUGCCCACCAGGCACAGACCACCUGCCGCUGGCCUGGAGGCAGCCCCCAUCCUCACCUUCCCCAGCUCCCCGCACCCCCAGGGCUGCCCCCACCGGCAGCCACCCUCUGGAGACGCAGCUGGGGGGGCCGGCGUCCCCAUCCUCCCAGGACAGCCUUCUGGGGGAGGGGAGGAGGAAGAAGAGCUGCUCAGGUCUCCACGUGCCACCAUGGACGUGUGGGCCUCUUACGGAGGCUCUUCCAACAACUCGAUGGGCCAGAAACCAUCCUCCUCCUCCUUGUCAUCCCUCCUUCACACACAAGAAAACCAAGGUCUGGACGCUUCCGGAAGUCACACCAGCGGCCAGCAGUGCAUUUAGAGCCCGAAACCUGGCAUCUGCCCCUCCCCCCCAACACCACCUCAUGAGUCCUCAGCGCCGGAGAGCCAACGCUCCCUACAUGGGAGAGCCUGCCCCGAGGCCUCAUGGAGCCAGCACACGGCUGGCCUCCCUGGGCCCACUUCAACCCGGUUCCUCACCAACACGUCACAUGGGCUCCUAGUUAGGGGUGCAGCGGGCACCUCCCCAAGGACGGGCUGAACCUGGGUGGCGGCACCAGGGCCUGCUCUGGAGUCUGGCAGGCGUCGGCCUUUCCAAAUAAACCCACUUGGCUAGUUAGGUCAGCCCAGGCUCUGCAGUCUUCGUUUUUUCUUCCCAGCUUAAAAGCCUAACAAGCAGAUGAUAUAACUGACCCACACCGAAGACCCCACGGCGAAUGAAGAGCUACCAGUUCCGUGCCCAGAACGUGGUCCCCAGGUGUGUGUUCACUGACGAGCAGUCUCGGGCAGGGACGAACACUCGAAUGACAACUCUAACUACAGACCCUGCCUUUAAGCCCCCAGCUCCUUCUGACCGACCGGUGGUCGGCUGGGGCCCCGCAGGAGGUGGGCACGCCUGGCUGCCUGGGGCAGGCUCCCAGCCUCGGACGGCAAUCCCACCCAAAGCGUCCCAGGUGACGGAGACUCUAGAAACAUUUCAGCCACAGGGAGGACAGCCCUCACAAAAUUUCAGAACCAGAUGGAUUUUUUCCAACAUACAGACAAGGAACUUGAAACACCUGCCCGAGCUUGCCCGACCCUCCAGGUUCCAGGGACCACCUCUCUUCUAUCCCGCAAAGCCCAGGGAGAGCUGCGCUGGGCAGCCCCUCACACUCACACCUGCACUGACCCCUCCAUCUUCAGCAGGAAGUGAUUUUCUGCCUCUGGGGGGGUGCCUGCCGCCAAGCCCCCACCCUGCUUGAGCUGCACCUGGCCGCGAGCACCAGCGGGGAUGGGGCCAGGCCUGGCUCUCCAGAGGAGUCUGACGGACACGCCGCUCGCUUGCUUCCUCGGCCUCGGCAAUCCCACCCGUUCAAAAGGAUGCCAGCUCAGGAAUGUGCAUCUCCACGUUGCUUCAACAGUGAGGAUUUCUGGUCUAAAUGUGCACUGGUCAGGACCUAGCUAGCUAAAUAAUCUCCCAGCCCGCUAGGCAGGCAACGCAAACCAUCGUGCCCAUGCUUAUUGACAAGCUCGAUGGACACACAUGUGAUUAAGUGCAACGAGGAGAGGAUAAAACAGCACUUAAACGUACGCUUACUCACGGAAAGGGCCGUCGGGGACGCUGACGCCCAGCAGGGCCGGGGCAGGCCCGCCCCAAGCACCCGGCGCUCGCCCACGCAGACUCCCAAUUGCUGGCAGGGCCGCACUUCCUGCUUUCCGGGUGAGCUCACGGGGGCCAGGUGCACCUGAUCGCCGAGCGCCGAGCACCAGGCCGUGGCCCUUCACAGGUGGAGAAGGCAUGCGAGCUGCACGGGGUGCUGAGCUCUGGGCCCGGGGCAUGAGGGACGUGUCCAAAUACCUUCUUCGGAUUUUGCCUCACCUGACUGCGUUUGCAUUAGAAAAUGCACUUUUUGGUGUUUUUCUUACAAGACCUCCUGCUGUUUCCGAACAUCAGCAGCUUCCCCAGAUUCUCGCAGUCGCUCAGGCCACCCCGCGGUGAAGGGGAAGGCGGCCCGGUCCCCAGGAGCAUAUUCCCGCUGUCCGUGGGGACACUUCUGCCCUCCCGGCUCUCCGCGGACGGGGCCGCGCGUGGCUUCAUCUUCCUAGUGUCUAUGCCUCGUUCCCCUCCACACGUGUGCCCUGCCCCGCCGAGCCUGGCCGUCCAUUACCCGCCAAGAGGGACACACAUGAGGCAGGGCGUCAGGGCCCCGAUGCCGGGGCUCGAGCUGUGUGCCCGGGGCUGGCUACUUACUCCCCCCCUCAGGUGCUGAGCUGUGAGACGCAGCUGAGCUCAAAGCGUGCGUGGGCUUUUUACCCCACGACCUGGCGCUUUGGUAACUAUGACUGUUAGUGAGGACAUGAUGAAAACCCGCCAGGGACGGCUGGGGGCGUCUGCUGAGCCUUUCCAGAGUGGGCCCACCGUGGCAGAGCCAUAAAAAACCACCCUGCCAGGUGUCACGCAGUGUUCUUUCUACAUCUUUUCCCCCAGGACGGACAGCAGAGGGGAAGAGCUUGCCCUCGGCGCUGAGGACAGCCACCUCGGCCACGCACCUCUGCACCGGCCUCCACCUGCGACCCUCUGGUCCUGUCCUAAAGGUGACCCCGGGCAGAGGGGCACCUGCUUCUCGAGGACCCCUGAGAACAGGUGGUGCUGACGUGAAAACCGGCUCAUGCGGGGACCCGGCAUUCACGUUCUAACGCGGAAAGAGGGGGAAGACCGUGGGGGCCGGAGGGAGGUGGGGGUCGUACAGAGAGCCAAGGCCAGGAGAGGCGUCCCCCGCCGGCGCACCCCGUGCACCUGAGUGCCCACGCCUCGGCCCCGGCCGCCCUGUGUCCCCGUCCCCACUUCCGGAGAGGGAGGCCCGCAGCAGGGACGGCGGGAAAGAGCCCAGCUGCCGUGGAUGCGGCCUUCCCGGCACUCACGUUACUGAUCGAAGUCAGAAACGCUCACCGGCGGCCGUGACUAGCCAGGCUCUGGCUGUCUCCCAGAGAAUAGCAGUCAAACGCCCUCCCCACUCCCGGGAGCGGCUGCCGCUGGACCUCUGAAUUUUUAAGUGGUUGGAGUGUGAGCCUCUGGAGAGAUGAAGUGCCAUCAGCGUCCACACAGCGAGAGGGCGGGCGCACAGCCGUCCCCCGACAGCCAGGCCAGGGCCACCGGGCCUGGCCAUGCACAGUGUGAGCCCCGCCUCGGUUUCUCGGUCCCCCAACUGUGUCACGGAGCCCACGCCGGCCACCCCGUGCGAGGCAGACCCGACCCCGCUCCACACACGUGCAGUCGGGGGAGGAAGCGCUGAGUGGCCACGGGAGGACCCAGGUGCCCAGUGCACACCGGCCUUUGCAAGCAAGGCAGAAGCAGGGGUCAGGCCAGCAGGGCGGGGGUCAGCGCCCACCCGGCGGCACCUCUGUGGGGCUCUGGGCGGCUAUUCUGCACACCUGGAGAGCCAGGAGUGGACCCUAAGGGGGACCUGGGGGCCCGGAUCUGAGGGGAGACUGUUACCAGGGGGCUCAGUGAGAGCUGAGAACGCAGAGACACACGCAGUGGGUGCCCUUCCAGCGCUCUUCCCUAACCAUGGCCACGGGCGCAACCAAAUGGAAAAGCCAGGCGGGCUGAGCAGCGCACCCUGUGACAGGCGAGCCCGCAAAUGCAGAGCGAAAUGCAUGCCCCAGACCACAGCAGGUGCGGCCUCGAGACAGCGGCCGGCAGGGCUUCCUCUCUGCAGCCCCUGCCCCCAGUCGGGGUUCAGAUCCCCGAGUCCAGGCAGACCUAGAGCCCGGCCAAACGACUUGGAAGCAGGGUCUCAAACGGGGAUCUGCACACCCACGUUCACGGCGGCCGUUUUCACAGCAGGCAGAGACUCGCUACUUCUCCCUGACUUGCCACCCCAAGCCCAAAUGCCUUUGUUUUACCCAUUCUUCACAAGCGGAUUGUUUCUUUGUCUAGCACGCAGGACAACUGCCUGCUCCGGUCACUUCUUAGAGUCUUAUAUGGUUGGAGCUCCCAUGUGUACAAAAUUAAAUUCGCUUUUCUCUUGUUAACAUAUCUUAUGUUAGUUUAAUUACCAGACAGGCCACAGGGCCAGAAGGAAAGACGGGAGAUUCUCUCUCCCCACCUACAAUCCCAAGUGUCCACUCAGGGAGGAAUGGAUAAAGAAAAUGCCAUAUAGCCACACAACUGAGCACCAUCUCCCUCCUUGUAGGGAAGGGCCUCCGAGGUGCCUGCCAAGCACUCCAAGGUGACCUGGCUGCUUCACCUGAGCCCAGCACCCAGGGGGCACGGGGAGUCGACAAGGCGGUCACUCAGAGCUGCCACUCAUGAGAACACACCAGCUCUUGGGGGUUCUCGACCCUCAGCCUUUCCAUGGCUUGUGUCAACGAGACACAGGAGUGGUGGGAAGGUCACACGGGUCCCCCGCACACAGAGUAAGGGGCAGGGUCCAGCAGCAUCUGCAAGUGUCCCAAGGUCUGCUCCCUUCUAGAACCUUCUGUCCCUAUGACCCUGCCCUCCCACCAGGGCGGGCCCCAUGAGGGCCCCUCUGCAGGUGGAGAACACACCUGCAUUUUGUGGGCACGGAGCGGAUACCUGUCUCCAGCCUUUUGAGUUUCAAGACGGGCAGAGCUUGGCUGGAGGACACAAUAUGUCUGAGAAGUCAGCUCUGGCCGCCCGCUUGGUCAGUCACGGUCAGCCACGUCCACCUGGUUCCUGCCCUGUGGCUGCCCCCAGCACCCUCACCAGCCAGUGACGACGCCGAGUAGAGGGCGGGUCAGGGGUCUCGGUCCCGGUGGGAGCCAGGCUCCAGGAAGCUUCAGGAAGCCAGGACGUCAGGGGGUGCUGGCCACCUUCUGGACUAAGACCCACUCUUCCCACCAAGAUUCCCAGCCACACACUCCAGGCUGACGUCCAGAAGAGCCCUGGGGUCGGCUGUAGCACACGUACGUCGCACGUGUAUGCUGAGACGCGCGGGAGCUGCUGGAGAACCGCCGAGAGACCAGCUUCCAGAAGCCUCCUGCAUUCCCCGGGCUCGUGUCCCUCCCUGCGGCGUCAAAGCCAGCGAAGAGGAUCGGAACACGCCACCCCCCAGAGGCUGCCCCCCACACAGACUGCUCUGGCAUAAGGACUACCUUGAACCGAAGACAACUGAGAAACGGCAGGUCCACGGAGAACUCUCUGCCCUCCCCACGUGCCCAAAAGCAGGACACAGGCUUCCUUCUGUACAAGCGUCCUUGAGAAGGCCCCACUGAAAGAACCUAAGAGAGUAGAAGGAAAGUUUUUCCUUCCCUAAACCAGCAGCAUAGCAUCUUCUCUCCUCUCUGCCCUCCUGACUGUCUCUCAUCAGGCACCCUGUGAUUACAUAUAGGGCCUACUUAGAGAAUCCAGGAUGAUCUCCCUAUCUCAAGAUCCUUAAUCACACCUGUGAAGUCCCUUUACCACGUACAGUAACAUAACAGUUGACCCUUCGACCACACUGGUUUGAACGACAUGGGUCCACUUAUAUACAGAUUUUUUCGAUAAGCACAGGACAUACUGUAAAUGGACUUUCUCUUCCCCAUGAUUUCCUUAAUGACAUUUUCUCCUCUCUGGCUGACUUUAUUCUAAGAAUACCUUAUACAGCAUAUAACACAUACAACAUACAAAACGUGUGUUAACUGACUGUUGGUACAGGUGAGGAUUCUGGUACAGCAGGCUGAGUAGUUAAGCUUUUGGGGGCGACAAAAGUUCUACACGGAUUUUCGGAGGUGCAGGGUCAGUGCCCCGCCUCCAUACUGUUCGAGGGUCAACUGUAUCUGCAGGUUCCAGGGAUCAGGACACGGAUGUCCACAGGGGCCCUUCAUUAUUCUGUCUCUUGCAGACCCCCAUGGCUAGUUGGUAAUGUGGCCCAGUAGAAGCACAACUCCUGCAUUCCUUUUCCAGAAAAAAAAUGAGUUUUUUAGGUUUAAUUCUCCCAUUUUCUUGAAGCUGAGAAGUAAUUCAUAAUGUUAAUUCUGGGAAGUCCAAACCAAACCUGUCUGCCUUCUGAGAGCUCUGAGCCCACGUGGGUACCCUACAGGA
Molecule: long non-coding RNA, 10064 nt
Organism: Mirounga angustirostris (Northern elephant seal)
Lineage: Eukaryota; Metazoa; Chordata; Mammalia; Carnivora; Phocidae
Exons: 3
Source: RefSeq, a predicted model, not a curated record